AACGAACGCUGGCGGCAUGCCUAACACAUGCAAGUCGAACGAGACCUUCGGGUCUAGUGGCGCACGGGUGCGUAACGCGUGGGGAUCUGCCCUUGGGUUCGGAAUAACUCGCCGAAAGGCGUGCUAAUACCGGGUGAUGCCGUAAGACCAAAGAUUUAUCGCCCAGGGAUGAGCCCGCGUAAGAUUAGGUAGUUGGUGAGGUAAAGGCUCACCAAGCCGACGAUCCUUAGCUGGUCUGAGAGGAUGAUCGGCCACACUGGGACUGAGACGCGGCCCAG
Molecule: ribosomal RNA, 278 nt
Filed under: uncultured bacterium
Lineage: Bacteria
Description: partial 16S ribosomal RNA
Rfam family: Bacterial small subunit ribosomal RNA
Source: RNAcentral